GACGAACGCUGGCGGCGUGCUUAACACAUGCAAGUCGAACGGAAAGGCCCUGCUUUUGUGGGGUGCUCGAGUGGCGAACGGGUGAGUAACACGUGAGUAACCUGCCCUUGACUUUGGGAUAACUUCAGGAAACUGGGGCUAAUACCGGAUAGGAGCUCCUGCUGCAUGGUGGGGGUUGGAAAGUUUCGGCGGUUGGGGAUGGACUCGCGGCUUAUCAGCUUGUUGGUGGGGUAGUGGCUUGCCAAGGCUUUGACGGGUAGCCGGCCUGAGAGGGUGACCGGCCACAUUGGGACUGAGAUACGGCCCAGACUCCUACGGGAGGCAGCAGUGGGGAAUAUUGCACAAUGGGCGGAAGCCUGAUGCAGCAACGCCGCGUGCGGGAUGACGGCCUUCGGGUUGUAAACCGCUUUCGCCUGUGACGAAGCGUGAGUGACGGUAAUGGGGAAAGAAGCACCGGCUAACUACGU
This 467-nucleotide ribosomal RNA is filed under the name uncultured bacterium. Its description in RNAcentral is "partial 16S ribosomal RNA". It matches the Rfam family "Bacterial small subunit ribosomal RNA", at positions 28 to 506 of the family's 1533-position model. The record is from RNAcentral.